RNAcentral lists this transfer RNA (86 nucleotides) under bacterium HR09. Its description in RNAcentral is "tRNA-Gly". The record is from RNAcentral.
CCCCACCAGGUGGUUUUGUGCCCGCCUUUUCCGCUUUUGCCGCAAGCGGUGAUGCUCUGCGCCGGUUCGGAGCUUGCGGUGGGGGC